AAUAGAAGCCUUCCCCUCUGAGAGGCAGGGAGAGGAAGAGCUGGUUGGAUACUGUGUGCAUGCUCUGCUGUAGAGAGUGGGAACACCAUAAUAUUGCAUGCUUGAGGGAGGAGAAAAGUAGAAGAAGGGAGGGGGAAAAGUGUAAAUGCCUCUUGCUUGGUGACAAAUUGGUAGUUAGAACUUACUCUCCUUCAGCCAGUAGAGCUUGCAUCAAAUCAGGAUAUGAUAUAUAGCCUUUGAGAAAGCUGAUAGCUUGUAUUUGUGCACCUUGGUCUCCAUUACUGGAUUUGAUGGCUGGUGUAUGGUAGCUGUUCUGGUAGUGAAUGUCAAGGGAAGAGGAGGAAGGGUUCCUUGAGAACCUGUUGCAGGGAAAAAAAAAAAACAAAAAACAGAGGAAGCCAAAAGUAAGCAGGAUAUGAAACUUGCUUGUGAAGCAUACCACUGGA
Pezoporus occidentalis (night parrot) is the source of this 446-nucleotide long non-coding RNA. RefSeq lists it as uncharacterized. The record is from RefSeq and is a predicted model, not a curated record. Lineage: Eukaryota; Metazoa; Chordata; Aves; Psittaciformes; Psittacidae. The transcript has 3 exons.